Molecule: long non-coding RNA, 1207 nt
Organism: Eutrema salsugineum
Lineage: Eukaryota; Viridiplantae; Streptophyta; Magnoliopsida; Brassicales; Brassicaceae
Exons: 3
Source: RefSeq, a predicted model, not a curated record
UUUUCUCCUUCACACGACUGCUUCUCUCAUCUUCUUCCCAGGCGAUUUCUGAAACUCUUCUUCCAUUAAUUUCUAAAACUCUUUGUCUGUCAAUUUGGUAGGGUUUAUGCCUUAAUCAAACUGUUCUCUAUUUAGUUAAUUCAGCUUCUAUGCUUUGCUUCGUGCCUCGGCUGAAUAGUUGUACCUGUCAAAGAGCACAGCCAUUGAAGCGACGAUGUUAUCAUCAAGAUUUUCGUUUUUGGAGAUCGGCAGUUCCAACUUCGAUUCCAUUUGAUGACGAGAAGAAGGUUCAAUUUCCAACGACGACGGUGGCAACUUCGAUUCUCGAUGUGGUUUUGUUCAUCUGGGUUUGUAUUUCUAUACAUCUUUAUGAGAUGCUUUCUGAUUUACCACUGUUUUAUUGUUGAUGCUUUCUGAUUUCUCUGAUUUUUCGUUUUGUUAGAUAGCUCUGUAAAUCAUUUGUGAAUAUUUUACAUUGUUUAAGGCCCUAAUUGUGGAUUAUAGACGUGGAAUUUUGGAUUGUGUAGUUGUGUUUCCCUACUUAUGAUGUUGAGGCUUACUGAUUCUCUCACCUUAUAGAAGUGAUGAGCUCGUUUGAUAGAUGUUAGCUGGGACUGGACAAAGAUUGGUCGCUUGCAUUGUCUAUAUCCUUGGUGGGAAGAUGCAACUGUUAGUUUUAUGACAAGCGGAGGAUACAACGUUACUUCUCUUAUAAAAAAGGUUUCACAGAAGACACUGAUACUAUGGGGAGAGGAUGACCAAAUCAUUAGCAACAAGCUAGCUUGGGUUAGCGUUUUCUCUCUCUCUCCACUAAGCAUAUUCAAAUAUCAGACUGUGGACAUCUUCCUCACGUCUAAAAACCAGCCGCUGUCGCUAAACUGAUCACAGAGUGUGAAUCAAAGACGAACCAACUUUAGAUCAGAACCCCAUAGAAACGCUAGUGAUGAGAAACAGAGUGUGAAAACAGAGGAAAUGGCCAAACUAGAAGCACUAUUGCUUGGGUCAAAGCCUCCGGCUGGACCAAACGCAGGAGGAUUCUGAAUUGUAUCCAUUGUAUCCAUGUCUUGUUGAAACUGUUCACAAAGCUUCUUCUGGUUACAUUGCAGCUUAUUUAAUUCAGUUUAUCCAUUAUAUCAAUGUGUUACUUGCAAUGUGUUAUAUUAGAAAAAAUUUGUAAUCUUGAUUUAUAAUAAUUGUGUGUUUACAU